GACGAACGCUGGCGGCGUGCCUAAUACAUGCAAGUCGAACGCUUCUUUCCUCCCGAGUGCUUGCACUCAAUUGGAAAGAGGAGUGGCGGACGGGUGAGUAACACGUGGGUAACCUACCCAUCAGAGGGGGAUAACACUUGGAAACAGGUGCUAAUACCGCAUAACAGUUUAUGCCGCAUGGCAUAAGAGUGAAAGGCGCUUUCGGGUGUCGCUGAUGGAUGGACCCGCGGUGCAUUAGCUAGUUGGUGAGGUAACGGCUCACCAAGGCCACGAUGCAUAGCCGACCUGAGAGAGUGAUCGGCCACACUGGGACUGAGACACGGCCCAGACUCCUACGGGAGGCAGCAGUAGGGAAUCUUCGGCAAUGGACGAAAGUCUGACCGAGCAACGCCGCGUGAGUGAAGAAGGUUUUCGGAUCGUAAAACUCUGUUGUUAGAGAAGAACAAGGACGUUAGUAACUGAACGUCCCCUGACGGUAUCUAACCAGAAAGCCACGGCUAACUACGUG
RNAcentral lists this ribosomal RNA (508 nucleotides) under uncultured bacterium. RNAcentral's name for it is "partial 16S ribosomal RNA". It matches the Rfam family "Bacterial small subunit ribosomal RNA", at positions 28 to 507 of the family's 1533-position model. The record is from RNAcentral.